UCCGUAGGACCUGCGGAGGGAUCAUUACCGGUACUCCCAACCCCUGUGACAUACCACUUGUUGCCUCGGCGGAUCAGCCCGCUCCCGGUAAAACGGGACGGCCCGCCAGAGGACCCCUAAACUCUGUUUCUAUAUGUAACUUCUGAGUAAAACCAUAAAUAAAUCAAAACUUUCAACAACGGAUCUCUUGGUUCUGGCAUCGAUGAAGAACGCAGCAAAAUGCGAUAAGUAAUGUGAAUUGCAGAAUUCAGUGAAUCAUCGAAUCUUUGAACGCACAUUGCGCCCGCCAGUAUUCUGGCGGGCAUGCCUGUUCGAGCGUCAUUUCAACCCUCAAGCCCUCGGGUUUGGUGUUGGGGAUCGGCGAGCCCUUGCGGCAAGCCGGCCCCGAAAUCUAGUGGCGGUCUCGCUGCAGCCUCCAUUGCGUAGUAGUAAAACCCUCGCAACUGGAACGCGGCGCGGCCAAGCCGUUAAACCCCCAACUUCUGAAUGUGACCUCGGAUCAGUAGAUACCCGCUGAACUUAAGCAUAUCAAUAAGCCGGAGGAA
This 545-nucleotide ribosomal RNA is filed under the name Fusarium verticillioides. RNAcentral describes it as "eukaryotic LSU rRNA". The stretch from base 168 to 321 matches the Rfam family "5.8S ribosomal RNA". Lineage: Eukaryota; Fungi; Ascomycota; Sordariomycetes; Hypocreales; Nectriaceae. The record is from RNAcentral.